UGGAACCUCGAAACUUCCCUACCUCCUUUCAUCGCCUGAUCUAUUCCUCACCUUUUUUCAAAGCUCCUGGUUCUUCUAUCGCAGAAAUUCCUCUUGUCGCUAGACAUUUGCUCACACUGGUCCUUCUUCUUCAAUUAAUCCCUGUUUCCCAUUCCCCUCUCCCCUUCACCGUCCCCCCACUCCCUUUAUUUCUUUUUUUCUGGGGUUCCCGUCGUGGUGCAGUGGGAACGAGUCCCACUGGGAACCAUGAGGAUGUGGGUUUCAUCCCUGACUCGCUCAGUGGGCUAAGGAUUUGGCGUUCCCGUGAAAUGUGGUGUAGGCUACAGAUGCGGCUCAGAUGCUGUGUUGCUGUGGUUGUGAGGUCGGCCAGCAGCUGUAGCUCCGAUUUGACCCCUAGCCUGGGAACCUCCAUAUGCCACAAGUGCGGCCCUAAAAAAGCCAAAAAAAAAAAAAAAAAAAUUUCUUUUUACCAUGAAACCUUUGUUGACUCUCCUCCAUUUUUUGCCCUUGUCCUUCUUACGAUCUCUCAGUUGCCCCCUCUUCCUAUCUUAUCACACAUGUUCACAGCCUCAAAAGACUUCCUUUUUUCUACCAUCUGACCCAGUGUUGGGUCCUCAUUAUCUCAUUCAGAGCCUGAGACUUAGCCUCAAGGUGUGACUUUCUACUGCAUUUCUCCCUAUCCAGAAUUUUGGAUGCUUUUCAUAAAGUGAAGGAGAAAAUCAUAUCACCCUGCUCAAAAAUUAUCACUAAAGUUUUAAUUAGUACUUAAUUAAUUCUUACUUACUUAAGCCUACCGUUACAGACUUUCCAAACAAGAUUCCAGUCUCCUGUCCAACUCUUCUGACUGCUCCUCCCCUGUGAGUGUCCUAUGAGGGCACCAAAUCAAACCAUUGGCUGCUUCCACUCUUUUCCUUCUCAGGUUCCCUGUGUAUUUCAUUCCCAUUUUCUGGCUUUCCUCCUUCCCCUCUCCAACCAAUUUUUUCAGCCAUCUUUUUCUUUUUUUUUUUUUAGGGCUACAACCAGGGCAUAUGGAGGUUCCCAAGCUAGGGGUCGGAGCUGUAGUCACCAGCCUACACCACAGCCAUAGCAUCUCGGGAUCUGAGCUGCAUCUGCUACCUACACCACAGCUCAUGGCAACACCAGAUCCCUAACCCACUGAGCGAAGCCACGUAUUGAACCUGCAUCCUCAUAGAUGCUAGUCAGAUUCGGUUCCACUGAGCCACGAUGAGAACUUCUCAGCUAACUUUUAGGGUGCUCCUUCUUCCGUUCUGCCAUGAUCUGCUUUUCGGCAUUUUUGUUUUUGUUUACAUCACACGUUCAGUCUCACAUACACAAGGAAAUAGAAUAGAGCUUUAUCUAACACUACUCUUAAGCACGGUGAUUAAGAGAAUUGGUCAAGGAGCCAAACUGCUUGUGUUUUAACAGUUCUCUCUCUAUUUCCCUGUGGCCUCAGAGAUGCUGUGUAACCUCUCCUUGCCUUAGCGUUCUUAUCUCUAAGAAGGAAGAAAUUUGUGCCUACCUUACAGGGUUAUUGGCCAGAUUGAGUGAAUGAAUCCAUGUCAAACACAAAGACAGUAUCUGGCACAUAGUAGGUUCUUCAUAAAUAUUGUUAUUGUUAUAGAUUGUCUAAGUGAGAAACACUUUAUUGUAAUGGAGUGUUUUUUUCACAAGUCAUCAAAU
RNAcentral lists this long non-coding RNA (1680 nucleotides) under Sus scrofa (pig). RNAcentral describes it as "lncRNA (ENSSSCG00015002382.1)". The record is from RNAcentral. Lineage: Eukaryota; Metazoa; Chordata; Mammalia; Artiodactyla; Suidae.